CGUCUCUCUUCCUGUUUCAUUCUGGAGUGGAGGAACAUAUUCAAGGUCCAGUAACUGCUGUAAGACUCGCCCCCUUUGGACUAUUGCGCAGAUGUUUGGAGAUAACUUGCGUGUGGUGUGCACGGUGCAGGCAUAGGCACCCAGGAGUGCUACGUUGGUUGAUCAAGUUGCGCGGUUUUUUAAGGGGAUGGAGACUUAGUUGCAUUUACCCGGAUAAGUUUGAAGGAAUUGCCUCAAAAUGGUUCUUCAGCGCAUAUUCCGUGCUGUCGUGAUGGGACCCCCGGGUUCAGGGAAAGGAACGGUGUCUUCGCGUAUCACCAAAACUUUCGGACUGAAGCAUCUCUCGAGCGGAGAUCUGCUCAGAGCAAACAUCGAAUCCAAGACUGAGCUGGGUCUGCUGAUGAAGUCGUGCAUCGACCAAGGCCAGUUGGUACCUGAUGAUGUCAUCUCCCGCCUCAUCCUGAGCGACCUGCGGAAAAUGGGGAACAGCAGCUGGCUCUUAGAUGGUUUUCCCCGGACCGUGUCCCAGGCGGAGGCCCUGGACGGGGUCUACAGUGUGGACACGGUCAUCAACCUGGACGUUCCCUUCCAGACAAUCAAGGAGAGGCUCACCUCCCGCUGGACCCACCUGCCCAGCGGAAGGGUCUACAACACAGACUUCAACCCGCCCAAAGUGGCUCCCAGUGAACAGGGUGGUUGGAAGAAGCCCACAAAAAUAUAUUGGAAGACAAGAAGUGCAACUGGUUUCUCCAUGCAGGAAGCUGGCAUUAAACAACGCAUAAAUCCCAAACAAACUUUAUCUGUGAGAGGACCAGAUGUAUGACCUAUCAGAUGCCAGCAGCAGGUGUAUCCAAUACCAGAAUCAGGUGUAUCAGAUACCAGCUCCAAGUGUAUCAGAUACCAGCCCCAGGGUGUGGAUGAUGUGACCGGGGAACCACUGGUCCAGAGGGACGACGACACCCCGGAUACCGUCACCAGGAGACUCAAGGCCUACCAGACCCAGACCGAGCCAGUCCUAGAGUACUUCAGGAGUAAAGGGAUACUGGAGGUCUUCUCCGGCACAGAAACCAACAAGAUCUGGCCCCAUGUGCAGACCUUCCUGACUAGAAAACUCUCCUAAAACGGAGGACGCUAGACACGACCUGAAAUGUUUACCAGCAGAAACCUUGUUUAAGGUCUGUGUGUACGCUCCAGAGAUCGGGCGUCACAAUGACCUUUCAAUUUAGUGCCAUGCUUAUUGCAGCAACGCUCCAGUAGAUUGUAUUUAAUAAUGUUUGAAAGAUGAGUAACAAGGGAUCCAUCAAUAACGAUGGCUCGCGUUUCCUAUAGGCACAACUGCUCCUUUUGUAGUUAUAAAGGUGGUGGCUUUUAGAUGGUACACUUUGCAUAAUUAGAUGUCCUUGUUCGAUGGUCUUGCCUUUCGUGAACCUGAAUAAUGACUCAUGUAACACAACUUUCCAAAAGGGAAUCGUCCAAUCAAAGCUUCUGUAAUUAGUUUUGAUUAAUUUGAGUUAUUUGAUUUUACUUUGUCUAUCCACAUCUAAAAUAUAUGUAAACCACUAACUGGUGGUAAGCCAUAUGCUUUCCUGAUUCUGUCUUGAAUAGAUGCACCUCAUGUGCUUUCGUCUUAAAAUGUUGAAUGAAAAAGCAAUACUCAAUGCUUAACUUCCUGUGAAAAAAGUAAUCUAGAUUGUUCGGUGAAAUUAUGAAUAUAUAUAAUUAUAUAAAAACAUGACUAUCUGGCUCAUGUACCCAAUGCACAGCGACAGGAGUACGAUAUGAAGUGCCUCUGAGAGUUAUUUGAUAAUUUUAUAGAUAUAGACACAGAAAUGAAGAGUGCAAGAGAUGUGACCAAAUAAUGAAGACGUCUCAUUCAUUGAUUUGUGGUAUAUUAUUUUUUCUAAGUCUUAACCUGUUAUCAGGAACCAAUGUAUCGACGUAGUGUUUAACUUAAAUCCCAAUGGCACUCCUUCUGUUCAUUUUACCCUUACCCUGUCUAACACUCCUAUCAACCCUUGAUCACAGAGGAGUAGUGAAACCAGCUGUAGCCGACAAAAAGCCCUUUCACACAUGCACUGUAGGCCCGACAUUCUCCAGUUUAUACCCGGGGGUUUGUUGGGAUGCUGGUUUAACGUCAUGACAUGCACCUAUUUUAUUGUCAUUACAUUUCUGUGUUACUGGCCUAUAGUUUGUAUUUUGCGUAUCUUACGUCAAUGUAAUAUGUUUUCCAAGUCUUAAUUGCCCAAAAGAUUUUUGGCUUGGUAAUUGAACUGAAUACUAAGGGAACAUUUGCCUUUAGUAGACUUAAAGGUUGGGUAUGGAAUUCUCUUUUUUGGCAAUUUUUGAAAAAUUACUGGAAAUCCUUAUUAUAACCCACUUACAGCCACUGAGGUAGAGGAACUGACAUGAAAAUUAAACAAGUCAAUCAUCUGUGGAACGGGCAGGGCUCGAAAACUCCAGCCAAUGAUUUCCAGAACUACCGAGUGGCAUUGGAUAGUAAGUACGUCAAUCAAACGUAGUUUGAUUGUAGUUGUUGUGCACUCCCCCUCCCCCGCGUGACCCCUUCGUGCACGUACUCAAAGCUCGUGACCCAGGUCAAGCUUCUGUUUUUUGUUAUCCUGAGGUAGCUACUGGAGCUAGCUAACUAGCUAAUGGCUCGCUCUCGCGCAUCUGUGUUCGCACUCGUGCAUGAUUGCGCGUCCACGUACUUGGAAUGGGUGGAGUCAGAGUCAGCGUUGAAGAAGAGGGGGUAGGACCAUUUGAGUUGUGUAUUUUCAAAAUCUGCUGGCGUUUUGCAAAUCCCAUACCCAACCUUUAAUCAAAGCACUUCUUCUUGAAUAACUUGUACUGUAUUGCCAACCACUAAAAAUCCGAGAUCAAUAGCUGCCUUUGAUUUGUAAUUGUAUACAUACACACAAAUUAAUAGAUUUAUGGUGUGUAAUAAAAAACGUCUAAUAAAAGUUGCCGUUGCAAUAUGCUC
Molecule: RNA transcript, 2980 nt
Organism: Gadus morhua (Atlantic cod)
Lineage: Eukaryota; Metazoa; Chordata; Actinopteri; Gadiformes; Gadidae
Gene: ak3
Gene name: adenylate kinase 3
Exons: 7
Source: RefSeq, a predicted model, not a curated record